This 64-nucleotide small nuclear RNA is filed under the name Capra hircus (goat). The record is from RNAcentral. Lineage: Eukaryota; Metazoa; Chordata; Mammalia; Artiodactyla; Bovidae.
GUGCUCACUUCAGCAGGACACGUACUAAAAUUGGAAUGAUACAGAGAAGAUUAGCAUGACUCCU